GACGAACGCUGGCGGCGUGCUUAACACAUGCAAGUCGAACGGAAAGGCCCUGCUUUUGUGGGGUGCUCGAGUGGCGAACGGGUGAGUAACACGUGAGUAACCUGCCCUUGACUUUGGGAUAACUUCAGGAAACUGGGGCUAAUACCGGAUAGGAGCUCCUGCUGCAUGGUGGGGGUUGGAAAGUUUCGGCGGUUGGGGAUGGACUCGCGGCUUAUCAGCUUGUUGGUGGAGUAGUGGCUUACCAAGGCUUUGACGGGUAGCCGGCCUGAGAGGGUGACCGGCCACAUUGGGACUGAGAUACGGCCCAGACUCCUACGGGAGGCAGCAGUGGGGAAUAUUGCACAAUGGGCGGAAGCCUGAUGCAACAACGCCGCGUGCGGGAUGACGGCCUUCGGGUUGUAAACCGCUUUCGCCUGUGACGAAGCGUGAGUGACGGUAAUGGGUAAAGAAGCACCGGCUAACUACGUG
This 468-nucleotide ribosomal RNA is filed under the name uncultured bacterium. RNAcentral describes it as "partial 16S ribosomal RNA". It matches the Rfam family "Bacterial small subunit ribosomal RNA", at positions 28 to 507 of the family's 1533-position model. The record is from RNAcentral.